Limulus polyphemus (Atlantic horseshoe crab) is the source of this 151-nucleotide long non-coding RNA. RefSeq lists it as uncharacterized. Lineage: Eukaryota; Metazoa; Arthropoda; Merostomata; Xiphosura; Limulidae. The record is from RefSeq and is a predicted model, not a curated record. The transcript is spliced from 3 exons.
AGAUUAUGCAAAGAAAAUUUGAAAAUUUUCAGAUGAAGAAAAGUAUUUUUAAUCAUAACAUGAAAAUCACUAUGCACUCAAAGCAGUCAACACUCUAGCUCCAUGUAUUCAUGGACAAAUCUUUAGUAAAAAUACUACAUUAAAAAAUAUC